AUACGUAGGUGGCAAGCGUUGUCCGGAAUUAUUGGGCGUAAAGCGCGCGCAGGCGGUCCUUUAAGUCUGAUGUGAAAGCCCACGGCUCAACCGUGGAGGGUCAUUGGAAACUGGGGGACUUGAGUGCAGAAGAGGAAAGUGGAAUUCCAAGUGUAGCGGUGAAAUGCGUAGAGAUUUGGAGGAACACCAGUGGCGAAGGCGACGUUCUGGUCUGUAACUGACGCUGAGGCGCGAAAGCGUGGGGAGCAAACAGGAUUAGAUACCCUGGUAGUCCACGCCGUAAACGAUGAGUGCUAAGUGUUAGGGGGUUUCCGCCCCUUAGUGCUGCAGCUAACGCAUUAAGCACUCCGCCUGGGGAGUACGGUCGCAAGACUGAAACUCAAAUGAAUUGACGGGG
This 397-nucleotide ribosomal RNA is filed under the name uncultured bacterium. Its description in RNAcentral is "partial 16S ribosomal RNA". It matches the Rfam family "Bacterial small subunit ribosomal RNA", at positions 523 to 918 of the family's 1533-position model. The record is from RNAcentral.